GUGGGAAUAGCUCAGUGGUAGAGCUCCUGCUUAGUACGCACAAGGUCCUGGCUUCAAUUCCCAGUCCCUCCA
RNAcentral lists this transfer RNA (72 nucleotides) under Camelus bactrianus (Bactrian camel). It matches the Rfam family "tRNA". Rfam says of the family: Transfer RNA (tRNA) molecules are approximately 80 nucleotides in length. Their secondary structure includes four short double-helical elements and three loops (D, anti-codon, and T loops). RNAcentral also lists the same sequence under 2 other names. Lineage: Eukaryota; Metazoa; Chordata; Mammalia; Artiodactyla; Camelidae. The record is from Rfam by way of RNAcentral.